ACCACUUCGGUGGGGAUUAGUGGCGAACGGGUGAGUAACACGUGGGCAAUCUGCCCUUCACUCUGGGACAAGCCCUGGAAACGGGGUCUAAUACCGGAUAACACCUUCCUCCUCCUGGAGGAAGGUUAAAAGCUCCGGCGGUGAAGGAUGAGCCCGCGGCCUAUCAGCUUGUUGGUGAGGUAAUGGCUCACCAAGGCGACGACGGGUAGCCGGCCUGAGAGGGCGACCGGCCACACUGGGACUGAGACACGGCCCAGACUCCUACGGGAGGCAGCAGUGGGGAAUAUUGCACAAUGGGCGAAAGCCUGAUGCAGCGACGCCGCGUGAGGGAUGACGGCCUUCGGGUUGUAAACCUCUUUCAGCAGGGAAGAAGCGAAAGUGACGGUACCUGCAGAAGAAGCGCCGGCUAACUACGUGCCAGCAGCCGCGGUAAUACGUAGGGCGCAAGCGUUGUCCGGAAUUAUUGGGCGUAAAGAGCUCGUAGGCGGCUUGUCACGUCGGGUGUGAAAGCCCGGGGCUUAACCCCGGGUCUGCAUUCGAUACGGGCUAGCUAGAGUGUGGUAGGGGAGAUCGGAAUUCCUGGUGUAGCGGUGAAAUGCGCAGAUAUCAGGAGGAACACCGGUGGCGAAGGCGGAUCUCUGGGCCAUUACUGACGCUGAGGAGCGAAAGCGUGGGGAGCGAACAGGAUUAGAUACCCUGGUAGUCCACGCCGUAAACGGU
This 720-nucleotide ribosomal RNA is filed under the name Streptomyces moderatus. RNAcentral describes it as "bacterial SSU rRNA". It matches the Rfam family "Bacterial small subunit ribosomal RNA", at positions 74 to 810 of the family's 1533-position model. Lineage: Bacteria; Bacillati; Actinomycetota; Actinomycetes; Kitasatosporales; Streptomycetaceae. The record is from RNAcentral.